CCCUGGCUCAGGACGAACGCGGGCGGCGUGCCUAAUACAUGCAAGUCGAGCGAAUCGAUGGGAGCUUGCUCCCUGAGAUUAGCGGCGGACGGGUGAGUAACACGUGGGCAACCUGCCUAUAAGACUGGGAUAACUUCGGGAAACCGGAGCUAAUACCGGAUACGUUCUUUUCUCGCCUGAGAGAAGAUGGAAAGACGGCCUCUAGCUGUCACUUAUAGAUGGGCCCGCGGCGCAUUAGCUAGUUGGUGAGGUAAUGGCUCACCAAGGCGACGAUGCGUAGCCGACCUGAGAGGGUGAUCGGCCACACUGGGACUGAGACACGGCCCAGACUCCUACGGGAGGCAGCAGUAGGGAAUCUUCCGCAAUGGACGAAAGUCUGACGGAGCAACGCCGCGUGAACGAAGAAGGCCUUCGGGUCGUAAAGUUCUGUUGUUAGGGAAGAACAAGUACCAGAGUAACUGCUGGUACCUUGACGGUACCUAACCAGAAAGCCACGGCUAACUA
Molecule: ribosomal RNA, 504 nt
Filed under: Bacillaceae bacterium CL3.3
Lineage: Bacteria; Bacillati; Bacillota; Bacilli; Caryophanales; Bacillaceae
Description: bacterial SSU rRNA
Rfam family: Bacterial small subunit ribosomal RNA
Source: RNAcentral